UAAUAGUGUAUAUUAAAGUUGUUGCAGUUAAAAAGCUCGUAGUUGAAUGUUGGUGUCGAACGAGCGGUCAGCUUCGGCUGUACUGCUCCCUCGACUCCUUCCUUCUGUGGACUACGUCGCACUUUACUGUGUGGCGCUAGGACGCAGAUCGUUUACUGUGAAAAAAUUAGAGUGUUCAAAGCAGGCCGUACGCUUGAAUACAUUAGCAUGGAAUAAUGGAAUAGGACGUCGGGCCUAUUUUGUUGGUUCUAGGACCGUCGUAAUGAUUAAUAGGGACAGUUGGGGCCGUUUAUAUUCCGUAGUCAGAGGUGAAAUUCUUGGAUUUACGGAAGAUAAACUACUGCGAAAGCAUUCGGCAAGGAUGUUUUCGUUAA
RNAcentral lists this ribosomal RNA (374 nucleotides) under uncultured eukaryote. RNAcentral's name for it is "partial 18S ribosomal RNA". It matches the Rfam family "Eukaryotic small subunit ribosomal RNA", at positions 592 to 976 of the family's 1831-position model. The record is from RNAcentral.